This 398-nucleotide ribosomal RNA is filed under the name uncultured bacterium. RNAcentral's name for it is "bacterial SSU rRNA". It matches the Rfam family "Bacterial small subunit ribosomal RNA", at positions 358 to 773 of the family's 1533-position model. The record is from RNAcentral.
GGAAUCUUAGACAAUGGGGGAAACCCUGAUCUAGCCAUGCCGCGUGAUCGAUGAAGGCCUUAGGGUCGUAAAGCUCUUUCAGCUGUGAAGAUAAUGACGGUAGCAGCAGAAGAACCCCCGGCUAACUCCGUGCCCGCAGCCGCGGUAAUACGGAGGGGGGUAGCGUUGUUCGGAAUUACUGGGCGUAAAGCGCGCGUAGGCGGACUAGAAAGUCAGAGGUGAAAUCCCAGGGCUCAACCCUGGAACUGCCUUUGAAACUCCUAGUCUUGAGUUCGAGAGAGGUGAGUGGAAUUCCGAGUGUAGAGGUGAAAUUCGUAGAUAUUCGGAGGAACACCAGUGGCGAAGGCGGCUCACUGGCUCGAUACUGACGCUGAGGUGCGAAAGCGUGGGGAGCGAAC